CCCUUAGAUGUUCUGGGCUGCACGCGCGCUACACUGACGCACUCAACGAGUUUACGACCUUGCCCGAUAGGGUUGGGUAAUCUUUUUAAAAUGCAUCGUGAUGGGGAUAGAUUAUUGCAAUUAUUAAUCUUCAACGAGGAAUUCCUAGUAAGCGCGAGUCAUCAGCUCGUGCUGAUUACGUCCCUGCCCUUUGUACACACCGCCCGUCGCUCCUACCGAUUGAGUGCUCAGGUGAAUAAUUCGGACUGCAGCAAUGUUUGGAUCCCGAACGUUGCAGCGGAAAGUUUAGUGAACCUUAUCACUUAGAGGAAGGAGAAGUCGUAACA
RNAcentral lists this ribosomal RNA (326 nucleotides) under uncultured eukaryote. RNAcentral describes it as "partial 18S ribosomal RNA". It matches the Rfam family "Eukaryotic small subunit ribosomal RNA", at positions 1470 to 1796 of the family's 1831-position model. The record is from RNAcentral.